Molecule: RNA transcript, 4162 nt
Organism: Notolabrus celidotus (New Zealand spotty)
Lineage: Eukaryota; Metazoa; Chordata; Actinopteri; Labriformes; Labridae
Gene: tmem201
Gene name: transmembrane protein 201
Exons: 12
Source: RefSeq, a predicted model, not a curated record
GUAUAUGGGCGUGAACAAAAGGAGAUCGUUUGCCGCGUGCAUUUUCUAGCUGUUUUUUGCGGCAGAGAUCUCGUACUACGUUUCUCAUGUGUUGUUGUUAGCUAACCCACGUUAAUUUAACAUGGAGGCGUUUAAUCAGCUCCUGUUUGGAUAUCCGGAGUUAAUGUACACUGGAAUGGGAGUCACGGCGUUCGUCACCGGAGGAGCUCUGAUCUACAGGAUUGCCACCAGAAAGAAGCCGGUCCAUGCAAAUGUGAAUUGUUGGUUCUGCAAUGAGAACACAGUGGUGCCCUAUGGAAACCGGAACUGUUGGGACUGUCCAAAUUGUGACCAGUACAAUGGCUUCCAGAGUAAUGGGGAUUACAACAAACCCAUCCCGGCACAAUUCAACGAGCAUCUGAACCAUGGAGUAUGUGGCAGCCUUCCCUCACAUGUUACACCUAAGAUUCAGCAGUGGGUCAACUGUCAGAUGCUGCUGUGCAGGAAGUGCAACAACAACCAGACAAUAAAGAUCAAGCAACUGGCUUCAUUUAUCCCAAGGGAUGAGGAGAACUAUGAUGAGGAGAUUGAAGCCUACAAACACCACCUGGAGCAGACCUAUAAGUUAUGCAGGCCUUGUCAGACAGCUGUGGAGUAUUACAUAAAAUACCAGAACCGACAACUUCGUACUUCGCUCCUCAGCCAUCAGCUCAGACGCACAAGAGAUUCAGACAAUGGCUUCAUCAAGAGCUCCUAUUCUGUGUCCUCUCCCCUCGGAGUCAUACUGCUUCGGGCCUUUGCCUUCCUUAUAUGUGCAUUCCUACUGGCUAUAUCUCUCUACCCAUCCGCAGACCAGUCAACCUCCUCAGUUGACCCACAGACAUUAAGUGGUGGUGUAAUUCCCCCAAAGCCCAAACCAUCUAACAAGUCCAUCACAAACAAUGAAACGAGUGGAGUCAUGCCUGUGUGGGAGAGUGUGAAGGAGCUCCUCCCAAACAGGACCAUAGAGAGUGCCAAGCUGGUGUGGCAGCACGGAAGAGACAACCAGCUGGCUGUUGUCUCUGUCGGCCUGUUGACCUGUCUCACUGCUAUCUUCUUAGCUGGACCCUCAAGGCUGAGGAGAAUCGAUGCUACGGCCUCGGUCCUCUGGUUCCUCAUGCUGCUCCUCUACAUGGCCGAGAGUUACGUGACUGGUGUCUUAGACUGGAUGGACACGGCAAAGCUCAGUAUCAUUUCCGUCUGUUGCUUCGUCAGCUUUGCUGCUGCAGUGGCAACCCGCAGACCACUGGGUCCAAGAAAAGCCAGAUAUGGAAGGUAUCUCCCAGGCAGCUCUGCAGCCCCCAUAACAGGCCAACCUCCUUUGUUCUCUAAUGGCCAGGCAGACGCCUUUAUCCCCAGCCUGCCCCCCAAUAUCUCCAUGCUCAUCAACCGCCAACAGACUCCCCGUGAUCGCAAGGCUUCCCCCUCCUCUCUGCCCGGCCGCCUCAACAGAGCCCUCUGCCUGGGCACCAUCCGCUCCCUCACCAGGACAGAUUCUGGUUACUUGUUUAGUGGAAGCAGACCUACAUCUCAGUGCCAGGACUCCCCACCCUCAGGUGUGGAGACGCUCAGCCAGGGGUUGCAGCUGUGAGCCAGGUUUCCACAAUAGCUCUUUUUAUGGGGGAGAAAAGCAAGACAUGUACCACUGCCACGUGUCACUAAUGGUACGGACACAGCGGUUGAGAGGGUUUGACGGGACAUUACCUCAUCUUGAGAUACAAAGCUGACAGACUGGUGCACAGUUAAUACAGAGGGAUUUCCCAGUCUGGCAAAGCUGGCAUGCCGGUUUCUCCCACCGGAAAGGGGAUGUUCUAAAAGAUCGAUUUCCAGAUUAUUUCUCACUGAAGUCAGGGAGUCGUCCAUCAUCACCAGGCCCCUCCCCAACUCCUUCCAUAGCUGGGUCAGUCACAUCCAGUUCAAGCUCUGCCAGACAAAGACGCCCCCUCAUCAGCCCUGCUCGCCUCAACAUCAGCGGCCAGAGUCUGCACCUUUUCUCCACCGAGCCAGAACCCUUGCCAAUGUCUCCCCCUGCUUCUCCACCCCCUGCUUCUUCACUCUACCAAAGGCAAAAUGAUAUGACUUCAAUGUUUUGGGUUAGUGGUAUGGUGGAAGAGAAAGUCAGGCAAGACAGCUCCUCAGAGUCCUCUGUGUGCGGGGUUGGCACUACGACACCAGAGAGCAGUUCUGAUGAGAAAGGUAUCAUGGAGCGUCUCCUCUGGCCUGGGCUUUUGGUUGUGAGCCUGACCUCCAACAUGUUCUUCGCCGGCCUCUACAUGUACCACAACUGGAGAUGAACCGUUGCUGUGUCUGCUACUGAUCUCUUAUGACUGCACAGCGCAGGCCUGUAUUAGGCUUCGGGUGACCCUGUUGUCUCUCUGGACCUGGAGGACAAUCAGCAUUGCCAGAAAACAUUCUGGUGGUUAGUUUUUGUUUGCUUGGGCUCCGUGAAAGUACAGAUGUCGGCUGAAAGAUUCAAUAGACUCAAAGAAUUUAAAGGAUCUAAUUCAAAGCUACCAUGUAAGUCACAAAAAGAACUGUCAGGGAAAUCAACUUUUGAGUGUGUUGUUAUGGAUCGCUUCAGAAUAUGUUAGCUGUUGUGAUGUUUUUUCUUUGGUUUGUCACUGCUGCUCUUACAUGAACACAGGUGCAUGUAUAAAUGAUUUAAAAGGCUCAAGUCUGGCACUGAUGCUCAUUGACUUUUUAAAGGUACUCUGUUAAAUGUGCAACUAACACGUACUGUUGAGUCAAUGCUGCUCCUACACACAGGGUCACGUCUAACCUACUGAUACUGAUUGUGAUGGGUGCAAUACUACUUCUCACUGAAUGAUGUUUUUGGUUAUUCCCAGUAUGUCAUGUCUGCGCUUUAUUAUGAUGGAUCUGCUUUUUGACAUUUUUGUUUCUUCAUUGUUAUAGACUUUUAUUUUCUUUGUUUUCAGCAGAGAAGAAGUGUUGUUAAGUUAUUUUGUUGUACAGUUAAUAUACAAUAUUUUUUAUAUUUAGGUCUUCUUUUUUAUAUCAUACCAGAGUGACACAUGUCACGUCAAACACUAAAAUAGGUCUCUUUCACAACGCUGUCUAAGUUUGUAAUGUUGCUCACGGCUAGUUUGUUAGGGGCAAAACUCCUCAGCUCAAGAGUGGUGUAAAAAAAAAAGAAGAAUUUGUGAAACUAAUGUAAGCAUUCAGUUUCUGAGAAGAGACACUUUCUAUUAAAAGUGUCAAAAUGAGGGAACAGCCUAAUGAUAGUUUUGAAAUCUAUCAUCAGACAACUUCAUAAUGAAGAGUGGCUUUUGAAAACCGAUGUAAUUGUCAAUCUAUAAAAAGAAAUCAUGUUCAUGCAUGAGGUUUAAAAAGAGAGGCAGAGCUUCAGAAGGAGGUUUGUCCCCUUACUGAGCUGUGAGCUGUUUCAUACGACUGAGAAUCUGAUGAUUUUGCACUGUUCAGAUUUUGUGUGUUUGUGUGUUGUGUUUUGAAUAUUUGAAUUUUGAUAUUGAAGGUGUAUAAACUGUUUACAGUUGAUUGGUUGGGUUUGAUGUCUAUGUAUAAGAGUCACCAGACUGAGUAGAAAAAGAGAGGGGAAGCUGCAGGAGGUGAAUUGCAGUUUGCCAAAGUUCCAAAAGAUGGCGCUCCAGAAGGAAUUUUGUACCUUAAUGGUUUUUAACAAUACGAACAAUACAAAAACAUUUAAGAAAAAUAACUUUGAGUCAAGAUGAAACAUGUUUCUUACAAUCACACAGACCAAGCUGCAUCAGCACACAUUCAUCAUCAGAGGAACCAUUCUUCUUGGAAGGUUGUCAAAAGAGGGUUUAAAUCUCUCGUCGGACAAUCUUUAAUUUACUUUUUUAAGUAGCACAUUUUACCUUCCCGAGUGAAUGUUAUUUUAGAAUUCCAUUGAUUUAUUCAAUAUGGCUCAAAACAACUAUCAAAUGAAAUUUCACUUCAUUAACCAAAAUCUAAGUUUAUCAUGAAGGGUCUCAGACAAAUGGAUACCUAAGAGAUAAAUUAUAGCAAAUAAGAAAUGAUAAUUCUGCCAACAAUCAAGUUCAUGGUCAUUCAAGAAAGUGAAACAAACAUCCAAAAUUCAAAGUACAGAUCACUUAAAUGUGCAACUGUCGCAUAGAAUACUUAAUAAAUUGUGCAUGUGCAA